AUUGAACGCUGGCGGCAGGCCUAACACAUGCAAGUCGAGCGGAUGAAGGGAGCUUGCUCCUGGAUUCAGCGGCGGACGGGUGAGUAAUGCCUAGGAAUCUGCCUGGUAGUGGGGGAUAAUGUCCGGAAACGGGCGCUAAUACCGCAUACGUCCUGAGGGAGAAAGUGGGGGAUCUUCGGACCUCACGCUAUCAGAUGAGCCUAGGUCGGAUUAGCUAGUUGGUGGGGUAAAGGCCUACCAAGGCGACGAUCCGUAACUGGUCUGAGAGGAUGAUCAGUCACUCUGGAACUGAGACACGGUCCAGACUCCUACGGGAGGCAGCAGUGGGGAAUAUUGGACAAUGGGCGAAAGCCUGAUCCAGCCAUGCCGCGUGUGUGAAGAAGGUCUUCGGAUUGUAAAGCACUUUAAGUUGGGAGGAAGGGCAGUAAGUUAAUACCUUGCUGUUUUGACGUUACCAACAGAAUAAGCACCGGCUAACUUCGUG
Molecule: ribosomal RNA, 484 nt
Filed under: uncultured bacterium
Lineage: Bacteria
Description: partial 16S ribosomal RNA
Rfam family: Bacterial small subunit ribosomal RNA
Source: RNAcentral